GUUUUUUUUGGGGGGGCGGCUGUUGAGGUUUUUUUUCCUAAACAGAAUCCUUUAAGCCAGUUUAAAAAGUUUGUUCUUGCAGACAGAAAUUCUUCUUUCCUUUAGUCUAGAUUAGGCAUUUGGAUGGGAAAUGGAAUGUGGAGGUCCUGGCCCAACUUUCUGUGCAACCACAUGUGAAUCACUUCAUGCUGUGGCCCCUUGUUGCUGUACCAAACUUUACCCUCCUUUGCUUGAUUUAAAGCCUGUGGGAAGCAGUUGUCAUCUUUUGUCUUUUUUAGGGACAUCAGCAUGUAUGAUGCAAGGCUGGGGAUUCUGGACAUCACCACAGUAAUCAUUAUAAAGGUCUGAGAGCCUUUUGGUCAAUUCCAAAACUCCCAUCUCUUUCCACAAUGUUAGAAACAGAUCCUCGUUGAGCUGCUUUUAGCUUUUAUGAUCUUUGAUAAAGCUUUUAGCACUUAUCAUCUCUGUCUCCAUGGAUGCCCCUUCUUGGUGUCCUGUUGCUUUCCAUACAUUGAGUUCUACUGUUGUCACAAAUGAUCUGGAAACAGCUAUAUAAUUACAAAGUGUAACACAGAUAGCUGCAUGGCACAGAAAGGAGUGUUCAAGCCUGGAAAUAAAGGAGUUAAAAUAAAAUUAAUUUCUCUUACCCACUUUCCAAAGAUGCCAGCCUUUCUAUAUAAACUCCUCUGUCAUUAAUCUAAUAGAGCUCUACUUCGUUCAUAAUUUACUACACUCUUGAAUAAGCCAUUCUAAUAUUUGUGCAGGGCAAGAACAUAAAUCAUUGUUGCCCUUCUCUACUUUUUUUUACUUAUCUGGUUCUCUCAAGGUCAAUAACCUACCUUACAACUUUCAUCUGGUUUAACUAUUCAGCUCUUGCCUUUUACACCUCUCUUCUUUGUUCACGUCCAUUUGGGUAUCUGCAGCUGUAUCUUCUCCAGUAGCUAUUGAUCAUGUCUCCUUGCUAAAGGUUGCUAACUUCAUCAGCAGUAAUGGUACAAAUUACAUCUGUUAGGGUUCACUCAUGCCUCUCUUUUAGCAGGAGAGACUGCCUUCUGACUUUGUUGUUAUUGGCCAUCUUUUCUGCCUAGGAUAUCUAAAACUCAAUGAGAAAAAUUUUAUGCUGGGAAAUAUCCUCAUUCUGACACAUGUAGGCUUUCAGUGCCCAGGUCAUGCAGAGAAGCUAAUCAAUCCCCACUGACCUCCAGGAGCCUGGAAUAUAGCUGGGUAAGGCCCCAAUCCAGCAAUGCACUUAAGGAUAUGCUUAUGUAAACAUAGGAUCCAUCCCAUUUUCAGUGCAAUUUGGUGAGAAGUGCAUUUCAGAGCAGAGCAUCUCCAGGGAUGCUCCUUUUUGCAGGGGCUGUGCAGGAUGAGGCUGUACCAGUUGCCAACACGAGCACACCCCAAGAAGGGGCUAAGGAGCAUCCUGGCAGCACAACACAGAGAAACCUCCCAGGGUUCAGCUGAUGGGAGGAUGUGACAGCAACGGGCUCACUCUGAAAGGAAUGCACCUUCCCAGGCGUGAACAGGGAUCAGAUGAGAUGUGGCAAAGACUGCUGGGGACAAUGGUUUUGCCACCCUGGUGUCCUGUGACCUUUGGAGGAUGAGUGAUCCAUCUCCCUGUGGGAGAUUUGGUGUUUUGCCACUGGUCAACAAAAUGCUGUCCUCAAUGCACCUGUCAAGAUCCACUCUGGAACAGAAGAUCAGAGCAAACGGGGGCUGAGGAGAACAAAAGCUGCCCCAAACCUUUGACCUAAAUUUAACAUAAAGCCAAAUGAAACCUUAGAGAUUUUCUGCUUCUGAGCUCCUCUGAAAUCCUCCCCAGUGUCAAGGCUGGACCGAAUGGUGUGUGCCAGCAGUGCAUGUCCCUGUCCCAGUGCCUGACUGCAGUGAUGGCACCUUGUUCAGACACCCCUGAAAUGCCUUCAGAGUUCCUGCUGUGUGCCUUUGUCUUUGGAGGUUUGGAUAGUUCGGUCCAUGCACUGACCAGUAUUCAACUGCUGAAAGAAAAUAAGGACUGUGACAAAAGGGUCUGGCUGAGCUCCAUGGACCAUCCAGAGUAGGGACAGCAGUGGUGGAGUGAAUCCACUGGACAGAGAAAUCAGACAGAAGAAAUGAUCCUAUUUGCUUAUUUCAGCCCAAGUUAGAAGGGAAAAGUUCUAUGUGUUGGCCUAGUGACAAAUCUAUUUUGACUGUCAAAACUUAGAAAACUUUUAUUUUUCUCACAACUUCUCUGGGAUCCAGUGGUGUGGGUUUUGUAAAUCCUUCAUCUAUCUGUUUCUAGAAACAUACAGAGCAUGAAUUACUGGAAAUGAAGCAAAAUCUACCAGACAUAAACUCAGCCCAUCCUCUAUAGCUCAUAUUCUCUGAAGACUCAUUUGUCCUUUUCCUCUUUUCAGGUAUUUCCUCUCUUCUCUCUGGUCUGUUCUUGUUAUUUGUUUCAUCAGCCAUUUGUUAUACAACUCUUGGCAAAAUAUCAGGGAAAUCUUCCUGACUGUGAACAGGGAAGUGCUUUCUUAAGGGAACAACAACAGUUUCUUUACUUGGGCGAGCAGAAAACAAGUCAAGCCCAAGUAUUGUCUUUGCUGAGACAAAUUUCAUGAGGACAGUGAUGUGCUUUGUUGGACUCAGUGGUGCAGCUGAUCAAGCUUGUCCUCUUGGGAUUUUCUUUGGAUUUUUAAAGGGUUUAAGGUGUUAUUUCUCCAUGUGAAACUUGCCUCACUGCUGUGCCAGGGGCCAAGUAGGCAGUGAGGGAGGGAUGGACUCAGCUUGUGUCUGGUGGGAGCUGAGCUCCCUGUGUGUGGCUCCACGGGGGUGGUGGGUCUUCUCAUCUAGGGGUGGCGAUGCCUUUCUGGCCACAGGCACCCCAGCAGUCAUUAAAACAAGCAAACUGCAUGCUUUCAUCUCUCCUGGGUCCACAGCUUCCUCCUCUCAGAUGAGAUGGCCUUAGACCCAGUCUGAGCCUCAAUAAACUUUUCACUUUUGCAGUUUCACCCAAGGCUUGACUUUGCACUGGGAUUAUCCUGAGAUUCGUCUGCUUCAGGUCAGCUGGGUUCCUCUCUGUCUCCUCUCCAGCUAAAAGAUUAUAGCAGAGCUGCACAAGCAUGUCCUAAACUCAGAGCAAACUGAAGGAAAGGCAGCUCCAGCUGCAGCUCACAGCCUGCCAGAGAGACUCCCCUGGCAGGUCUCCGACGAGCCUGUUACUACAAGUUCACUCCAAGCGGCAAUUCCGGACAAAGCAGAACUUUGCAUGAAGUUCAUAUUAGUUCAUAUUAGCUCACGCUGCCAGCAAUUCAGUAGCUCCUUCUCAGUGCUUGAAUCUCAGUUGAAAGAUUUAUGUGGGCUUGCCAUGCAGCCUCUCUGAGGAAGUCAUGAAGGUGGGCAUGCAUUUAGUUUUCCCAAAUAUCAUGGAGCAAGUGAGUUGUGUAAUAUCUUCUGGAAGGACUGAAGAUUUUAAGUCCUAAUACAGAGCUGUCAUCUCUGCAAGAUGUAAUAGCACCUAGAUUAACUUCCAAAGCAGGAAAGGACACAGUAGAAGUAGUUUUAUGUAGUAAUUUUUAUUUCCAUUCACUGAAUAAGUGAGGUCUUACAUCUAUUGAAUAACCCAAUAUUUAUAAAGCUUUUCUGUUAAAAGAGUUUCUAAUGCUUUGACUGCAUGCAUUAAAACUCAUUUUGUGUGUUUUAAAUGAAUUAUAACCUAUUCAAAAGCACUUCCUCACCCUAAAGCACUCUGUGCCUUAUGUCUCUGUAAUACCUUCAGCUGCUACAGAGAUCUCACAAAGAUGAGGAUGUUCAUGAUAAAUAGAUUUGAGGGGUUUUUUUAACGUUCACUUCAUUUUGUACAUUUUCCAAAAGAUUUAAAAAAAAAUAAAUCCAUGUUAUUCAAAUUUUGGAGAAGGGUUGGUUGAAAAAUCUCUAAUUUAGUUCCUUUUGAGUCACAUUUCAGUGAUGGUUUUUAAUGAAUAUGCACAUAUUAGCCACAUAGCUAACAUUUUCUGUCCUCUUCUGACGUAUUGUAGGUUAACAAGGACAAAUUAUUGUCUCACCCCUUGUGAACACUCUGUGAUCUCUGCUAAGUCUAAUGAGCCAAACCCAGGCCUCAACUGGACCUGGAGUGAGGCAGUGGCUUCUCAGCUCCCAGCAAUUACAGCAGUGCAAAAGGCAGUUCUGUACCCGGUGACCUGCUCUGGUACCUGCUCACACACUGCUGGGGAUGCAUCCUCAGCUCCUGGAGCAAAGCCCACUUCCAUCCUGCUGGAAAGAGCUUUGCAAAGAGGAAGCAAAACCCUGCCCAGUGCUGUGAAGAACAGACAGAGGCUUUUUGGGGGUGUCUGUGGGAAGGGGAGCUUGCUAUCCCCAGGAAUGGGAGGCACGUCCGCAGUGGGAGGCAGCGCUCACAGGGCUCCCCACUCUCACCAUUGAGCAUUGUUCAGAACAAACAUAGAUGCUGCGUAUGGAUGCAAAGCUUGAUCUGUGGUUUUUACACCCACCACAUUUCUUGGAGUUGACAAUUCUAAAACUUUGGGACUUUUCAUCUCCAGGCUGUUGUUUUCUUCGGGGUUUUUUCUUCAUUUCAUAGGAAGCUAGCAUGCAAACAAACCAACCCACGCUUUGGCCUAAGCAGCUGUGUAAUGCUGUCCUCCCCUCAAAAGUGUACAAAUCUGCAGUGGGGACACAAGUUGGGUUGGUAUAACACAGUACAGCUGCACCGUGACAUUGCUUGGGUGGAUGCUGAGAAAUCUAUAGGAAUUCCCUGGGGAAACGUGGAGUUGGGGGGAAAAAAAAGCCUGCUUUACCCACUGUUCCACUUUGCUGGAAAAUCCACUGCCCAACAGUGAGAAUAGAGUGAUUUAUUUUUCAGAAAUGCCUUGGGCCAGCUGUGACUGAAUGGUUGUUUCUUGCUCCUUAUAGUUCCCAAAAUGUUCAGGGCAUUUUCCAGGUGGAAGUUAGAGCUAAAGAGACACAGAAGAAAGAAGGAGAAGAUUCAACUCAGCAGUUGUUUAGUAUGAAUGGAAUCUCAUUCAUUCUAAAAUUCCAGCCCUUUCUGAUGACUUCACAGUUUUAAAGAAAAGAAUAUUUUUGAGCUCUCCUGGGCUUGCUGAAAAGCUCCUUGUUCCUCCUGCUCUGUGGCAGAAGAUGCUGCAUUAGGAUUUGUACAAGGCAUUGACACAAGGUAUGUAAUGCCCAUCUCUGAAAAUAAAACCAAUAUUUUCUCUGAGGAAGGAAAAAGGAUGGGCCAGUUACCCUUUCUCUGGGAAUUUCCAGCUAAAGGGAGUAGUUAUGUACUUCAAUUCAUUGGUGAGUGGGAAGCAAUGUGGAUUUUUGGAUCCUCUUGUUGGGCAUGGAGCGAGAUGUGAAGAUGGCAUGGCUGCUGUCACCUUGUGCUCUGCCAUCAUCAGGCGUGUGGCUUUGGCAGGCAUCGUGAAUCAAAACCCUGAGGGGUCUUUUCAAACCCUAAUGCACCCUGACCUACCACAGUCCUCUCAAAGCUGUCCCUUCCUCCUUUACCAGCCAGAAUGGUGGAUUUGAGUACACAAAGAAAUGAAAUCAGACAGAACUGGCUGGAAAAUAACCUGUAGCCCCAGGUGGGUGUUGAUGGACAUUCUCCAUUGGCUGAAAGUUUCCUAUCUUGUUUCAAGGACACUUUUAUUUUUAAAUCUCUUUUCCAUUGGACACGUACAUGUGAAGUCAGGUAGCAGAUACAGAGGCUGGCUCAAGAAUAGCCACAAGCUGCCUGAUUUCUAUUGUAUACCAUAAUUACAGUAGCAUACACUUUGGACUGACAGCAAUUCUCAGCAACAGAGUACUUUAGAAAUAUUAAUCUCACAUCAGCUAUUUGUGUUGAAUAUUGGCUUAUUCAGCAGGUGAUGUGAGCCAAUAUUAUCAUACUUUAUUAUAGACAGCAAAACAGAGAGAAAGAAAGAUUUAGUGACUCACCUAAGGUCAAGCAGUAUGUCCAAGAGAAAACCUAGUUAGGCUUGGGGAUUACUGCCUCCCAGUGAUCAAGAAAUAUCUGCAAUAUUUCUGAGAAGCUAGCAUAUAUACAUCUACAAUAAAUUAGAAAUUCUACUGCCUUAGGUUAGUCCUUCACUAGUAUGAGGGACAUUUUCAUUGCAUGGUAUUGGAAAAGCCAACAGACUUGGUGCUUUAGACAGCAACAGCCAGAUCCUCCAAAAUGUCACCGUGUUCCUCCAUGUGCAAGUCCCACAAACUGCAGUUUCUUAAAGGAGAGCUGAAUCUUCAGCUGGUGAUUAAUAUAACCUGUGAUUAGCUUGUGAUUUGGCAAAAAUGGCCAAAGGUUUGACUCAUUUAAUCUUGUCUUCUCACUAUUCAGCAUUUCCCAUUCCGUGAGCUGAGAGGGACUCGUGCAGAUGGGACUGUUCCCCAGCUAGGGGGAUGGGCUACAUGAUGAGCAACAGGAGUUCUGUGCCCAGGCAACUCGUACAACAUCAAUCUCAAAGUAACAGCAUCUCUUAAAUUGAACACUGAUGUUGUAGGGAUUUUAGGAAACUAAUUAUCCCAUGAGCAGUUGAGUAAACUUCAGAAGAAAAAGGUUUACAUUGAGAAAUUGGCUAAUAAUAGGGAUAAGAUAAUUAUACAUAGGGAGGAAAAAAAGCCAAACCUUUUGUUCCUGGACUUUCUUCUCUUACAUCACAUUAUGGAUGCCAUUCAAGGAAACAAGCUCUGCAGAAUAAUUCUAAGUAUUAACUAAUCAUGUUCCAACAAAAAUGAGCAGGGUCUCAGAUUUUACUUGGCUUGGAUGUCUAAAGGCGAAUUAUAAGUUACGUAAUAAAACAACAGAAUCAUUCAACAUUGAUUUACUUGUUUGUUUUGCUAUAAGAAAUGAAAUUUUUAUUGGAACGAAAUUAAACAAAGGUUUAUGUGCUUGU
Long non-coding RNA from Motacilla alba alba, 6887 nucleotides. RefSeq lists it as uncharacterized. The record is from RefSeq and is a predicted model, not a curated record. The transcript is spliced from 5 exons. Lineage: Eukaryota; Metazoa; Chordata; Aves; Passeriformes; Motacillidae.